AAACUAUAAAAUCAUUCUCCGACCAAAUAUUAUAAAUACUUCCACUACUAAAAUGUCAAUGACAUAUUUACGACAUAAUACUUCAGUGGCAUUGUACUAAUAUAUAUACAAUCAAAAAACUUUCAUGGCAUGCCUCAAGCUCCUUCUUGACCGAUCUCAUUUCUUAAGAACCUUGUUGUCCCUGCUACUAAAAUACAUUGAAUUACUUAAAAAAUCAUCAUAAUGAUAUCAACAAAUAAAAAGUGCAUAUUCAGAAUUCAAAUAGCCUUGCAACUGAGAUGUUGCAUCAAUCAUGUCAAAAAGAUAUAGCUAGACCAAGAACUAGGCAAAAGGUUGAAGUCUUAACUAUUAGUGGGGGGUAAAAAUCAAGCUUCAUGGCAUAUGUAGUAUGUAUGCUAAACCCAUUGACAGAGGAAAGUGAAAACAAGAACAAACUUCCUCAAUGCAUAUGAAAAAGAACAAGCAACCAUAUAUAGUUCAAAAUAAUAUUAAAAAUUCAUGUGAUGUAACUUUUUAUUUGUAUAGUAUGUGGGAAUAAUAGAUCAUGUAAGUAAGGAAGUGCUAAUAUAAAGUAUUCUCUUAUUCCUAAACCACUAAAAGUAGCAGAUUAACACAAUAACUAAGGCAAUUUCUUUUGUUCUCCCAUUUAAGAUUCUUAUUAAUUACUUCUUCAGCUUGAGAAGAUUAUUUUAUCAUAAUGUGCUUGUUGUGUAUCUAGCUUCGUCCUGACAACAUUAGGCAAGCACUACUUGUUGUUGUUGAAUGUUAUAUUAAGAUGAACUAUCUAGAUGCGACAGAUCAGUACAUUAAGAUGACAAUUGGGAUAUUCUUUGGGUGAAAUGGGUUCAUGGAGUAUAUAUGAAAAAUAACUUGAAUAUAUGAGACCACACUCCUCCAUUAGAUUCAAGAUGGUAUUGGAAGAAGGUUAACUCUCUAAAAAAUGAUAUACAAGCUUGGUAUGCGCAAGAUGUUUACAUGCUUUUUUUAUGAAAAAUAUUCGAUUACUAAAUGUUAUAAUGCACUAUAGAAAUUUGUAAUGCACUGGCAAUGCACCUUGACCUAUUGGUGUUCCUGUGGUUGCCAUAUGAAUGUACCGAUGACAUUCUGCCAACCAUAGAGUACCCAACAAUGCCAACCAUAGUAACACCAAUAAGCUGAAGUGCAUUACCAAAUUCCAUCUUAAUCUGCACAAAUAGUGUUUCUCAUAUCAUGAAUGGCGAGACAACUAGGAAGUAUCUCAUGUUAGUUAAAAGAGUGAUGGCAUUCUUUCAAUGACGGAACAACAUAAGGUUACCAAUAUCACAAACAAUAUGACAUAUAUUACUCCUCAAAAACUAUCUUUACUCCUAACUCCACUUCUUAUUGCUAUUAAUAUAGCUCCUCGAAGCCAUAUUAAAUAAAAAUACCACCUAAAAUAAAACUAGCUCAAAAAAGUCAAACAAAUAUGCCAACAAUGAUUACAGAUUGCAUCAUCUCAUGAUGUGCAAGAGAUACUAUACAUAUCACAUUAUCUGAUGAUGUGAAAAAAUUAAUCUCGAAAGGAUAUGACUCAGUCAAACCAAGGAGGUAGUAAAGGAAAAGGGGCAAUGAAAAAACUCACACGAAAAUGCUAUACGGAUCACAUUAUCUGAUGAUGUGCAACAACAAAUCUUGUCUAUUUUAGGUUUCUCUAGAGGCAACCUUCCUAUACAAUAUCUUGGUGUUUCACUUAGUAGCAAAAGAAUAUCACCAACUGUUUUUUUUUUAAAAAUAUAUCUGUUUCUGUUUUAAAAGAAUAUCAACAAGGCAGUGUGCACCACAACUGGAAAUAAAACUAGGCAUGAAAAAUUUACUGAGAGGACAACGAGCUUUUUCCAAACGUCUUGCAUUAAUUUGUUGUCAUAGAGAUAUCUAAUUUAACAGGACUUCUUAAUUUGCUCGAAAUCAGCAUUAUCCUUAAUUAUUUUAAAGACUAAUGAAUCAUCUCUUCUUCACAUAAUCCCUGACAUAAAACAUGGUACAUUUUCGUAGCUAGCUAGAACAAGACAAACAUAACAAUAGAAUAGAGAUAUUACCCAAGUCAUUGAGAAUAGGGAGAAAAUGCAAUUACCAGACAACUCUUGGACUUGCAUUCCCUUAUAUUGUACCAAGACUCUUGCACUUCCAUUCCCCAAUGUCUUANNNNNN
Molecule: long non-coding RNA, 2166 nt
Filed under: Solanum tuberosum (potato)
Lineage: Eukaryota; Viridiplantae; Streptophyta; Magnoliopsida; Solanales; Solanaceae
Description: long non-coding RNA (STUB_LNC007348)
Source: RNAcentral